CACGACGGAGUAACGGUUCGCAUCUUACCGGGCAGCAUUAGAGUCCUGUCUAUAUUUUCUAAUACUGUCAGGUAAAGAUGUCGUCCGCGCUCCACGUUCGUC
Non-coding RNA from Bombyx mori (domestic silkworm), 102 nucleotides. RefSeq annotates it as microRNA mir-8. The transcript has a single exon. The record is from RefSeq and is marked provisional. NCBI's taxonomy places the organism in Eukaryota, Metazoa, Arthropoda, Insecta, Lepidoptera, Bombycidae.